AAUGAAGAAAAAUAAAAGAGAAUUUUAGAAAUUAUUUUGGGGUUUUUUGGAUGAAAAAUGAAAUUACUACGAAUUUUAAAAAGAAAAUAGAAAUUAAAAAUAAUAAAAGAAAAAUAAUAGAAAUCAGAAAAACACGGAGUGUUGGAUCACACCUUAUUAAUUGACGUGGUAGAUCCAACACUCAAUAUGUUAGAGAACACGAUGGAACGUGUUGCAAGCCAAACACAGAAUCC
RNAcentral lists this long non-coding RNA (233 nucleotides) under Lathyrus oleraceus (garden pea). Its description in RNAcentral is "Pisum sativum (pea) long non-coding RNA (PSAT_LNC013114)". Lineage: Eukaryota; Viridiplantae; Streptophyta; Magnoliopsida; Fabales; Fabaceae. The record is from RNAcentral.